RNAcentral lists this ribosomal RNA (594 nucleotides) under uncultured bacterium. RNAcentral's name for it is "bacterial SSU rRNA". It matches the Rfam family "Bacterial small subunit ribosomal RNA", at positions 470 to 1059 of the family's 1533-position model. The record is from RNAcentral.
UGACGGUAUCAUAUGAAUAAGCACCGGCUAACUCCGUGCCAGCAGCCGCGGUAAUACGGGGGGUGCAAGCGUUACUCGGAAUCACUGGGCGUAAAGAGCAUGUAGGCGGGUGAAUAAGUUGGAAGUGAAAUCCUAUAGCUUAACUAUAGAACUGCUUCCAAAACUGUUCACCUAGAGUAUGGGAGAGGUAGAUGGAAUUUCUGGUGUAGGGGUAAAAUCCGUAGAGAUCAGAAGGAAUACCGAUUGCGAAGGCGAUCUACUGGAACAUUACUGACGCUCAGAUGCGAAAGCGUGGGGAGCAAACAGGAUUAGAUACCCUGGUAGUCCACGCCCUAAACGAUGUACACUAGUUGUUGCUAUACUAGAUAUGGCAGUAAUGCAGUUAACACUUUAAGUGUACCGCCUGGGGAGUACGGUCGCAAGAUUAAAACUCAAAGGAAUAGACGGGGACCCGCACAAGCGGUGGAGCAUGUGGUUUAAUUCGACGAUACGCGAAAAACCUUACCUGGCCUUGACAUAGUAGGAAUCUUUAAGAGAUUAGAGAGUGCUAGCUUGCCAGAACCUACAUACAGGUGCUGCACGGCUGUCGUCAGC